This 364-nucleotide long non-coding RNA is filed under the name Homo sapiens (human). RNAcentral describes it as "HSALNT0344062". Lineage: Eukaryota; Metazoa; Chordata; Mammalia; Primates; Hominidae. The record is from RNAcentral.
GGCCUCCCAAAGUGCUGGGAUUACAGGCGUGAGCCACUGUGCCUGGCCAGUAGUAUACCAUUUUAAUGUAUAUUAUUUUAAUUACUAGGGAUGUGAACAUUUUUAUAGUGUUCUUGUCACCUGAAGUAUUGUUUUGUGAAUUUAUGUUAUUUGCAUGCUUCCACGUGGUCAUAUUUGAUAUGCAAUCCCUCAUUUACUUACAUUAAUGUUUUAACUAGUAUUUCUAGUCAGAUGUCAUUAAAACCACCAACAGAAGGGUUAAUAUAUAAGCAGAUUGAAAUAUACAUAUUGUAAAAGAGAAAUAAAAAUGAUGUAAAUGACUAGCAAGAACUCUCAAAAGAACCAUCUGAAAACCUAUUAGUCA